GACGGGGGGGGCAAGCGUUGUUCGGAAUUACUGGGCGUAAAGGGCUCGUAGGCGGCCAACUAAGUCAGACGUGAAAUCCCUCGGCUUAACCGGGGAACUGCGUCUGAUACUGGAUGGCUCGAGUUUGGGAGAGGGAUGCGGAAUUCCAGGUGUAGCGGUGAAAUGCGUAGAUAUCUGGAGGAACACCGGUGGCGAAGGCGGCAUCCUGGACCAACACUGACACUGAGGAGCGAAAGCCAGGGGAGCAAACGGG
This 253-nucleotide ribosomal RNA is filed under the name uncultured bacterium. RNAcentral's name for it is "partial 16S ribosomal RNA". It matches the Rfam family "Bacterial small subunit ribosomal RNA", at positions 524 to 776 of the family's 1533-position model. The record is from RNAcentral.